GACAAACGCUGGCGGCGUGCUUAACACAUGCAAGUCGAACGGAAAGUCCCUGCUUUUGUGGGGUGCUCGAGUGGCGAACGGGUGAGUAACACGUGAGUAACCUGCCCUUGACUUUGGGAUAACUUCAGGAAACUGGGGCUAAUACCGGAUAGGAGCUCCUGCUGCAUGGUGGGGGUUGGAAAGUUUCGGCGGUUGGGGAUGGACUCGCGGCUUAUCAGCUUGUUGGUGGGGUAGUGGCUUACCAAGGCUUUGACGGGUAGCCGGCCUGAGAGGGUGACCGGCCACAUUGGGACUGAGAUACGGCCCAGACUCCUACGGGAGGCAGCAGUGGGGAAUAUUGCACAAUGGGCGGAAGCCUGAUGCAGCAACGCCGCGUGCGGGAUGACGGCCUUCGGGUUGUAAACCGCUUUCGCCUGUGACGAAGCGUGAGUGACGGUAAUGGGUAAAGAAGCACCGGCUAACUACGUG
This 468-nucleotide ribosomal RNA is filed under the name uncultured bacterium. RNAcentral's name for it is "partial 16S ribosomal RNA". It matches the Rfam family "Bacterial small subunit ribosomal RNA", at positions 28 to 507 of the family's 1533-position model. The record is from RNAcentral.